ACGGAAGGCAGCAGUGAGGAAUAUUGGUCAAUGGGCGAGAGCCUGAACCAGCCAAGUCGCGUGAGGGAAGACGGCCCUAUGGGUUGUAAACCUCUUUUAACCGGGAAUAACGUUACCUUCGUGAAGGUAAGUGCAUGUACCGGUUGAAUAAGGAUCGGCUAACUCCGUGCCAGCAGCCGCGGUAAUACGGAGGAUUCGAGCGUUAUCCGGAUUUAUUGGGUUUAAAGGGAGCGUAGGCGGGAAGUCAAGUCAGCUGUGAAAUGUAGACGCUCAACGUCUGCACUGCAGUUGAAACUGGUUUUCUUGAGUGCGUAAGAGGCAGGCGGAAUUCGUCGUGUAGCGGUGAAAUGCUUAGAUAUGACGAAGAACUCCUAUUGCGAAGGCAGCUUGCUGGGCAGCAACUGACGCUGAAGCUCGAAGGUGCGGGUAUCGAACAGGAUUAGAUACCCUGGUA
This 454-nucleotide ribosomal RNA is filed under the name uncultured Prevotellaceae bacterium. Its description in RNAcentral is "bacterial SSU rRNA". It matches the Rfam family "Bacterial small subunit ribosomal RNA", at positions 341 to 792 of the family's 1533-position model. Lineage: Bacteria; Pseudomonadati; Bacteroidota; Bacteroidia; Bacteroidales; Prevotellaceae. The record is from RNAcentral.